UACAGAGGUGGCAAGCGUUGUUCGGAAUUACUGGGCGUAAAGGGCGCGUAGGCGGCCAUCUAAGUCAGACGUGAAAUCCCCCGGCUCAACCGGGGAACUGCGUCUGAUACUGGAUGGCUUGAGUUCGGGAGAGGGAUGCGGAAUUCCAGGUGUAGCGGUGAAAUGCGUAGAUAUCUGGAGGAACACCGGUGGCGAAGGCGGCAUCCUGGACCGACACUGACGCUGAGGAGCGAAAGCCAGGGGAGCAAACGGG
RNAcentral lists this ribosomal RNA (253 nucleotides) under uncultured bacterium. Its description in RNAcentral is "partial 16S ribosomal RNA". It matches the Rfam family "Bacterial small subunit ribosomal RNA", at positions 524 to 776 of the family's 1533-position model. The record is from RNAcentral.